This is a long non-coding RNA of Fundulus heteroclitus (mummichog), 171 nucleotides long. RefSeq lists it as uncharacterized. The transcript has 2 exons. NCBI's taxonomy places the organism in Eukaryota, Metazoa, Chordata, Actinopteri, Cyprinodontiformes, Fundulidae. The record is from RefSeq and is a predicted model, not a curated record.
GUUUGUUUCCCCGUUGUUGGGUCACUCUGAGUUGAACCCUGUUACUCCUGUCCUGAUCCUGUGUUCUGCAUCCUCUUGUGUCCCAGCCAGUGUUAACUCCUGAGCCUGCCGAAACAGAAUGUCAAAGACAGCAUUCAAGUGCACUCUGGUCACCUCCAUGAAGAGAGAGGG